AUUGAACGCUGGCGGCAGGCCUAACACAUGCAAGUCGAGCGAGCGGCGGACGGGUGAGUAAUGUUUGGGAAACUGCCUGACGGAGGGGGAUAACUACUGGAAACGGUAGCUAAUACCGCAUACCAUCAGAUGUGCCCAGAUGGGAUUAGCUAGUAGGUGGGGUAAAGGCCUACCUAGGCGACGAUCCCUAGCUGGUCUGAGAGGAUGACCAGCCACACUGGGACUGCGACACGGUCCAGACUCCUACGGGAGGCAGCAUUGGGGAAUAUUGCACAAUGGGCGCGAGCCUGAUGCAGCCAGGCCGCGUGUAUGAAGAAGGCCUUCGGGUUGUAAAGCACUUUCAGCGGGGAGGCGUUACCCGCAGAAGAGGCACCGGCUAACUCCGUGCCAGCAGCCGCGGUAAUUC
Molecule: ribosomal RNA, 406 nt
Filed under: uncultured bacterium
Lineage: Bacteria
Description: partial 16S ribosomal RNA
Rfam family: Bacterial small subunit ribosomal RNA
Source: RNAcentral